RNAcentral lists this ribosomal RNA (451 nucleotides) under uncultured bacterium. Its description in RNAcentral is "partial 16S ribosomal RNA". It matches the Rfam family "Bacterial small subunit ribosomal RNA", at positions 29 to 523 of the family's 1533-position model. The record is from RNAcentral.
AACGAACGCUGGCGGCAGGCUUAACACAUGCAAGUCGAACGGUUGUAGCAAUACAGCAGUGGCAGACGGGUGAGUAACACGUGGGAACCUUCCUAGGGGUACGGAACAACUCAGGGAAACUUGAGCUAAUACCGUAUACGUCCGUGAGGAGAAAGAUUUAUCGCCCCUAGACGGGCCCGCGUAGGAUUAGGUAGUUGGUGAGGUAACGGCUCACCAAGCCUACGAUCCUUAGCUGAUCUGAGAGGAUGAUCAGCCACACUGGGACUGAGACACAGCCCAGACUCCUACGGGAGGCAGCAGUGGGGAAUCUUGGACAAUGGGCGCAAGCCUGAUCCAGCCAUGCCGCGUGAGUGAAGAAGGCCUUCGGGUUGUAAAGCUCUUUUACCAGGGACGAUAAUGACGGUACCUGGAGAAUAAGCCCCGGCAAACUUCGCGCCAGCCGCCGCGGUAA